Molecule: non-coding RNA, 30 nt
Filed under: Homo sapiens (human)
Lineage: Eukaryota; Metazoa; Chordata; Mammalia; Primates; Hominidae
Source: RNAcentral
UCCUGGGCACUGCUGUAUACAGAAUGGAGA